Molecule: small RNA, 141 nt
Filed under: Pongo abelii (Sumatran orangutan)
Lineage: Eukaryota; Metazoa; Chordata; Mammalia; Primates; Hominidae
Description: processed transcript
Source: RNAcentral
GUUGGUUAAAUCUAGACUUAAGAGGCUCUGCUCCUCAGAAGUUGGACUUCUGAAAAAUGCUGAACGAGAACAAGAAUCAGAAGAAGAAAUGUGACUUUGAUGAGCUUCCAAUUUUUCUAGAUAAACCUUUUCUUUUUUACA